AGGUGAGUAGCUCAACUGGUUAGAGCAGCGGUCUCCAAAACCGCAGGUUGCGGGUUCGAGUCCUGCCUCACCUG
Non-coding RNA from Candidatus Aminicenantes bacterium RBG_13_62_12, 74 nucleotides. The record is from Rfam. NCBI's taxonomy places the organism in Bacteria, Candidatus Aminicenantota.